UUUCGGAUUUGUUGCAGAACAUAGCAAAACAUAAACUAUGAAAACUUACCAGCUGAUAUUUCAAGCAGUAUUCCACCAUUUCCGGAUAUUUCCUUCCGCAGUUUUAGCCAGAACUGAAAAGAGUUAGAAAAACGUUAGAAUUAGGCAAAAAUCUGCACAAUUAGCGCUUAGAAGGAUUUAUGUUGUGAAGAUUAGGACUUACCUUGAUAAUCCACCAGCCACGGAUAGUUUGUUUAUUUUCGACCGGUCGACCAAAAAUUCAUUCUCUUGUUAUGAAAAUUUUCUUAUUAGACUCUUGUUCAUGAAUACUUGAGUUCCCACUUGACAGUUCUUAUGAGAGACUGUCAUGACUGAUCGCUACGACAGCGAAAACACUGAACGAAAUCAUUAGCUGUUUCUGUCAUAUGCUGACAUGAAAUUAUGCGGAUUGUGAUUAUAAACGUUCCAAAAGUUCGAUUAUUAAUUUUGUUCAAUCAAAAUAAAGAUAGUAAGAUGGACUGGUGCAUGCAUCUCUCAAGACAAAAUGAAUGUAUUACCAUUCAUUUUGAAGAGGGACGAUGGGGUAAUGUAACCGUUCGUUACUUUUGUAAAUGUGACUCUGUCACAAAAUUGACUUAUCCCUGUCCUAUUAAGUGAACCCUACAACAGUUAUCCAAACAGAUCAAAACCUUGACCGACUGCCAUCCCUUCCCAAGAUCUCACAUCGUCUUCUCAGGGGAAAUCCAUAGGCGUCGUGUGUUUUCGGAGCCCAGGCGGGGAAGUGUGGUCACCCAGAAAACAACACACUAGUAUUGUUUGUGUUACCGUAAAUGUAUGUGUGUUGGUUGGAUGUAGAAAAUUCCACUUAGCGCUUUAGCGGCUAUCCGCUUCCUGUCCUUUCUGUUCGUGAUCGCCUGAGGGAGCAGUUGUGCGCGACUUGAGUUUUUCAAACAAAAAACAGUGCGAAAAACAAACACAACACGUUAAAAGUAAAGCUAAAUUAUGUUAAAUUUGCUUUGUUAGUACGAAAGUGACAAAGGCAUAAACAACUGUUAAAACGACAUUAAAACGAAGCACAUUGUAAAACUGCAGAUAAAAGGUCCACAAGGGCCUUUUUCUGUUUGGCUGGUUCUUACGAACCACACCAUAAUUAUCCCCAGGCAACCAACAGUUCCGGACAGAAAACACCGUUCGAGACCGGAGUCGAGCAAGCACUUGGUAUCGACUCGAACAUAACCUCGUCUUGGACCGGUCAGCAUCAAAACAACAUCUUUUAGCCCGACGCUGGUGUCGAAAGGUCAACAAACAACAAUCAUACCAGCAUGCUUUAUUUCCGGCCGUUCCCAACUAUGCUAGAACCGGCAAGUAUUGGGGCGGCAUUUUGCAUGUCAGUCGUCUCCAGCCAGGUGCCUCCGUUACUGGUUGAGACGGUGAAUAAUAAGCCGACAGAGGAAUCGCAGCCGCGCGGCGAUUAACCAACGCCGAGGAAGAACCAAAGCCGCAAGUAUUAAUAGUGUGUGACGUCAUGCCAGGGCCCAUCCGUAAAAUAAACUUAAGCAUUAUUGUAAUCGCAUCCAAAAAUUGUGUAACUGUAGAAAUCCGUAAUCGCUUUACACUUCCGGGAAUCGUUAAAGUUUCGAACCAAAAUGGUUAUCAAAUCUCUCUCUAGGGUGGUCCGCUCAGUGAUUCACAGUUUGCGUUGUUUAUCAUAUUUUGAAUUUCCGACUCUGGUUGAUAGCAUGAGAGGUACCCACCCGUUUCGGCACCUCUGAAAAACAUGUUAGCUGUAAUUGGAAUCCCUUGCGUGAGGUUACUCCAGAAGACGGUGUAACGUAGUGAAUUUCCCUGUAACGACCCUGAGUCCCACCAUAAUCUCUCCUUCCCAUGUUCCCAC
Long non-coding RNA from Uranotaenia lowii, 1873 nucleotides. RefSeq lists it as uncharacterized. Lineage: Eukaryota; Metazoa; Arthropoda; Insecta; Diptera; Culicidae. The transcript has 4 exons. The record is from RefSeq and is a predicted model, not a curated record.